RNAcentral lists this long non-coding RNA (259 nucleotides) under Fukomys damarensis (Damara mole-rat). RNAcentral describes it as "lncRNA (ENSFDAG00000021858.1)". The record is from RNAcentral. Lineage: Eukaryota; Metazoa; Chordata; Mammalia; Rodentia; Bathyergidae.
CUCUACUGUAAACCACAAUAGGACAACCUCACACUUCGGUGUGAGCAGCCUGUUCUCUCUCCUUUGAAAGUCUCCUUGCACUCUUUCACCCAGUCCCCAGGUUUUAUAGCAGCUCUGCCUUCUGCAUCCUCUUUCGUGACAGCAUCAUCAUGCAGUCAUUCAAUAAAACUAAUUGAAGACUCAACUCCGGCUUCAGAACCAUAACAACGGCCUGCUCUCUCUUCACUGCUGAUGAUCUAAUCAUUAAAAUGAAACCUAC